UGUUCUGCCAGGCCUCCUGCAGGAGCUCAGGCCAGACCAGUGGCCUCCUACGAAUUUUAUCAAACGCGACUCAGACGAUGCCGUUCAGGCAAGGUUGAGAACCAAGCCCAGCACUGCCUGGUCCAGCCCCUGGGAAGGAAGGCAGGGCCGGGAGCCCCUCCUGCCGCCAGCAGCGACCCUGUCUCGGAAGGUUGUCUUUUCAGGGACGCUUGUACAGCAGACAGCCUUGGAAGAAAGAGAGAGAGUCUCACUCAGGAGCUCAGGACAGGGUGGAGCUGUGAGGAAUCUGGGCUGACUGCAGGGUCCCACCUGCCAGGAACAAGAACAGCUCCUUCCCGAGGCCCGGUCGUCACUGUUUCCUGAUCACCCGAAAGUGAACACCCAAAGCAUGCAAGGAACACCUUUUGUUCCCAACAGGCCUGGAAAGAGCCCUGCCCGGCCUGCUGGGGAGGCGAGCUGUUCCUGCAACAGCUUGUAAGCAAAGCGUCUCAGUAAAACAAAA
RNAcentral lists this long non-coding RNA (502 nucleotides) under Homo sapiens (human). RNAcentral describes it as "HSALNT0344487". Lineage: Eukaryota; Metazoa; Chordata; Mammalia; Primates; Hominidae. The record is from RNAcentral.